Molecule: ribosomal RNA, 393 nt
Filed under: uncultured bacterium
Lineage: Bacteria
Description: partial 16S ribosomal RNA
Rfam family: Bacterial small subunit ribosomal RNA
Source: RNAcentral
AUACGGAGGAUCCGAGCGUUAUCCGGAUUUAUUGGGUUUAAAGGGUGCGUAGGCGGCCUUUUAAGUCAGCGGUGAAAGUCUGUGGCUCAACCAUAGAAUUGCCGUUGAAACUGGGAGGCUUGAGUAUGUUUGAGGCAGGCGGAAUGCGUGGUGUAGCGGUGAAAUGCUUAGAUAUCACGCAGAACCCCGAUUGCGAAGGCAGCCGGCCAAGCCAUGACUGACGCUGAUGCACGAAAGCGUGGGGAUCAAACAGGAUUAGAUACCCUGGUAGUCCACGCAGUAAACGAUGAUCACUAGCUGUUUGCGAUACAGUGUAAGCGGCACAGCGAAAGCGUUAAGUGAUCCACCUGGGGAGUACGCCGGCAACGGUGAAACUCAAAUGAAUUGACGGGG